Molecule: ribosomal RNA, 529 nt
Filed under: Boophis blommersae
Lineage: Eukaryota; Metazoa; Chordata; Amphibia; Anura; Mantellidae
Description: partial 12S ribosomal RNA
Rfam family: Bacterial small subunit ribosomal RNA (bases 1-455)
Source: RNAcentral
GCUUAAAAUCCAAAGGACUUGACGGUGUUCUCACCCCUCUAGAGGAGCCUGUUCUAUAAUCGAUGAUCCCCGCUAUACCUCACCACUUCUUGCUUCCAUUCAGCCUGUAUACCUCCGUCGUAACGCUUGCCAUGUAAAUGACCCAUAGCAGGCCUAAUGACCAACCCCGCCAACACGUCAGGUCAAGGUGCAGCUUACGAAGUGGAAAGCAAUGGGCUACAAUUUCUAACUUAGAACAUACGAAUCAACCAUCUGAAACUAUGGCCAUGAAGGUGGAUCUAGUAGUAAGGGGGGAAAAUUGAGCCCCCCUUAACAGCGGCACUGAGAUAUGUACAAACCGCCCGUCACCCUCUUUGACAGCAUACUAAAAGUAUAUAACACCCUAUUAGCACCCUAAAAGAGGCAAGUCGUAACACGGUAAGCGUACUGGAAAGUGCACUUAGCUUUUGCAAAAUGUAGCUUAGUAAAGCCCCCCGUUUACACCGGAGAGACAUCUGUGAGAUCCAGAUCAUUUUGAGCCGUAACUCUA